CUAAGGUGGGAUAGAUGAUUGGGGUGAAGUCGUAACAAGGUAGCCGUAUCGGAAGGUGCGGCUGGAUCACCUCCUUUCUAAGGAAAAAACGGAAGCCAUUGAGUUUGUCUUGUUUAGUUUUGAGAGGUCUUGUGGGGCCUUAGCUCAGCUGGGAGAGCGCCUGCUUUGCACGCAGGAGGUCAGCGGUUCGAUCCCGCUAGGCUCCAUAAACAGUCUGAAGUUUCACUUCAUCCUGUUUAUGACAACGAAGUCAAUAA
Molecule: unclassified non-coding RNA, 257 nt
Filed under: Streptococcus anginosus
Lineage: Bacteria; Bacillati; Bacillota; Bacilli; Lactobacillales; Streptococcaceae
Description: 16S-23S ribosomal RNA intergenic spacer
Rfam family: Bacterial small subunit ribosomal RNA (bases 1-77)
Source: RNAcentral